AUUGGGGUUUAUUCUGAUGGGACUUUUCCUGUAGCUGUACAUCAUUGGAAAUGCCUCAUAGAGUAACUAACUCUGUGGUUUUGCUUUAUUCACAGGACUACUUGUUAGAUCUGUGGAAAGGAACUACAAGACAGUU
Small nucleolar RNA from Cynocephalus volans (Philippine flying lemur), 136 nucleotides. The record is from RefSeq and is a predicted model, not a curated record. NCBI's taxonomy places the organism in Eukaryota, Metazoa, Chordata, Mammalia, Dermoptera, Cynocephalidae.